AUGAUUUUUAAAGCUCUUCAUAAAAAUAAAAUUGCUCGUUCCAACUUCAUGGAAAUAAUGUCCAUUGCCAUUGAUGGCAAGAAAUACAUUGAGGAGUUGGAAUCUCAUCUAGAGGAGCAUGAGGCCACCAUUGAGAAAAUGGAAGCUCAUGGGCGUGAUUACGCAAAUGAGAUCGUGAUUAAAGCUCUUGAACAUGAACAAACCACCUCCGAAUCUCUUGAGGAGACUUUUGCUCUAGAAUUAUCUAGAGUGAGGGAAUCUCAUGAUAGAGCUCUUGAGGUGGCCAAUGAUUUCAAAACUAAAAAUGCUAAGCUUGAGGUUUCUCAUGCUAGACUCCUUGAGGAUUUUGAGCACCUCGAAAAUGGCUCAAGUCUCAUCAAGGGUGAGCUCAUCAAACUCACCGAGUCUCAUGCCCAACUUGAAGCUUCUUAUUUAAAAGAGCUUGCCAAGUUGUCCUCUCAUAUUGUUGUAAAUGAUGAUGCUUGUUCUACUAACUCUAUUACUUGUGAAGCAUCCAUUUUGAAGGAGAAUGUUGAGCUACGGGCUCAACUUGAGGUGCUAUCUAGCAAUUAUGGGAAAUUGGAAGAAAGUCAUGAAAAGAUCUCAAGCUCUCAUGAUGAUCUUCUAGUAUCCCAUAGUGUGCUAAAGAUAGCUCAUGAGGCCAUGAUUGCUAAGGUAACAUCUAGUGAGCCUCAUGUGGAUACUAGCACUACUUCUAAUCAAAAUAGUAUAUUGCCAUGUGCUAGUCCUUGUAAUUCAUCUAUUCACAAUGUUGGUACAUCUUGUGAUGAAUUGCUUUCCUUGCCUUGUUGCUCUAACGAUGAAGCUUAUACUUCCUCUAGUACUUGUGUUGAGACUAACCAUGUAGAGGAAAUCAAAAAGCUCAAGGCCCAAGUCACUUCUUUGAAGAAAGACUUGGAAAAGAGUCAUCAAGGAAAAUUCACACUCAACAAUAUCUUGAGUGUGCAAAAAUCCCCCAAUGACAAAGGUGGACUUGGAUUCAACUCCAACAAGAAGAAGAAGUCCAAGAUCAACAAGAAGAAGGGCAAAAAAACAAGUCAAGAAUUCGGCAAAGAUUAUUUGCUUCAAGUGCAAAAUUGA
Molecule: ribosomal RNA, 1101 nt
Filed under: Triticum aestivum (bread wheat)
Lineage: Eukaryota; Viridiplantae; Streptophyta; Magnoliopsida; Poales; Poaceae
Description: partial small subunit ribosomal RNA
Source: RNAcentral